UACGUAGGGCGCAAGCGUUGUCCGGAAUUAUUGGGCGUAAAGAGCUCGUAGGCGGCUUGUCACGUCGGGUUGUGAAAGCCCGGGGCUUAACCCCGGGUCUGCAUUCGAUACGGGCUAGCUAGAGUGUGGUAGGGGAGAUCGGAAUUCCUGGUGUAGCGGUGAAAUGCGCAGAUAUCAGGAGGAACACCGAUGGCGAAGGCAGGUCGCUGGGCCACUGACUGACGUGAGAAGCGAAAGCUGGGGAGCGAACAGG
Molecule: ribosomal RNA, 253 nt
Filed under: uncultured bacterium
Lineage: Bacteria
Description: partial 16S ribosomal RNA
Rfam family: Bacterial small subunit ribosomal RNA
Source: RNAcentral